UAAGACGCCUCCAGGGACAGGCUAGGAUUUCACCUAUAAACCCUAAUAUCCCAUUAUAUAGCAUGUAAAUGAAUCUUGCAAUUAAGACGUGAAGAUAGAAAGGCAGAUUGUGAAUGCGAAUAAUGGUGGGAGUCUCCAGGUUGCAGAUGAAGCAUCGGUGUGUUUCAAUUUCAUCUCAAGUCAUCAUGGUUGAAACACACAAGAACCAAUCGUUCAAUCACGCUCUUCGAAACAACGAAGAAAUUCCACCGGUCACAGACGUUUGUUCUUCCUUCACUCGAUCGAUCAUCCUAUUUUUUCUGCUACCACGAAACAGAUCGGUCCCAGAUGAUGGUGGUCACCAAACUUCGACUUCGUUUCUUGCUAAAAUUGAUGGUUUUGACGGUCUCUGGUUGAUUGGCGGUGGCCGGAGAGGCGAUUUGAGCAGUGAAUAGGUGGAGCCAGAAGUUCGAUUGAUUAUUCGUGUUCAUGGGUGGCGGACUGCAUCAGGGGGCAUGGCGUGAGAGUGGGAGUAGGCGAGACUUGAUGGAGAGGUGCUCUCAUGAAUAUUAGAAGAAUUAUGCAGAUCACAAGGCACAACUUUGCAAUGUGGAGAAGGCUGCUGAAGUAUUCGAAUAGGAAGUGCAAUCUUCAACAUAUUCUCUUGGAUGGUGAGUUGACUAUUGUAGCUUCAGUAUACAUGCUUUUAACUGUUGUUCCUUUUCCAGGAUGGAAACAUUGAAGAUGCUGAAAUGAAACGUACAUUUAAUAUGGGAAUCGGGAUGGUUUUGGUUACUAGCGAAGAGGCUGCCCAAAGGAAAGAGGUAGUAUUCGACUAUUUAGUUAUGUGAUCUUGGUUACCAUAAGUAUGUAACUUAGGCUCUAUAUGUUUGAUCUUACACAUGAUUUGCACAACAUAAAAAUAGUAGAGGUGUGUAUAAGUUUAUUAUGAUAAGUUCUUCAAUUUUCUUUGAUGAAGUUGAUGCAAUCGGGGGUACACGUUUCGAUGAUGGUGUAGGUGGAGAUAAUGAGGUCCAACGAACCAUGCUUGAAAUUGUGAAUCGGCUGGAUGGGUUUGACGCUCGUGGUAAAAUUAAAGUUCUGAUGACCUGAUACACUUGACCCAGCAUUGUUAAGACUGGGAAGGCUGGAUCGAAAAGUGGGGUUUGGGCUUCCAGAUAUUGCAUCUCUGAUACAUUAGACCUUUUUUCUAUAUUUGGAUCAUUGACUUAUAAAUUGCUCAUCAUUUUUUUAAUUUUGUGAAUUCUUUAUUAUCUUACGUAUAGGAAUGAAUUCAAACGCGAGGGAGCAGGUCGCGGGAACUGGGGAACUUAGGCUAAUGAAAUUGCUCGGGAGAAGUGGUGAACGAAAGGGAGAAAACGGUGGUUUCUGAUAAAUCGUUUAACGUGGAAGAUUCAAACGAUGAGAAAAAGAAGAAUGCUGUAAAUGAGUCCGAGGAGAAGGAGCCUGAGGAUAAGGUAAAUGUAAAUCUAAAAUGUGGAAAUCCACUUUUAGAAGGAGAAACAAAGCAAGAUCUACUGAAAAUGCUUUACUAUGUUAACAAUCAAAUUGGGUAGUUUUGUGAUGGCCAAUACGGGUUGCAGUGGGUUGGGUUCGGUUCUUUUUGAUGACCUGCUAAGGCUUUUUUGACUGUUUCUUUUGAGUGAUAUAAAUAGCACAAACUGUAUGCAUCAAAAGUCCUCUCAAAAGUUGGAUCAGAUUUAACUGGUGGAUGCAUGAAUCCAGCUGCUGUUGUUGGGUGGGCAUAUGCUCUUGGUGUUCAUAAAACAAAGGAGCAUAUAGUUGUUUAUUGGUUUGCCCCCAUCGAGGCGACUUUAUUGGCUGUAUGGACAUUUAGGUUGCUUGUACGGCGUCCAAAACCAGAGAAACAAAAGAAACAGAAGACUAACUGAAGGUGAUUCUAUCACACCUCACACGGUUGCACAAAACCAAUCCUUCUACAUAUAUAGAAUGAAGAUUCCAUUUACAGAAUUCUACAUUAUAGAUUUUUUGGUCUUCCAUCCCAAUUGCAUUCUUUAAUCUCCAAAUUAGAGAUAAAAGUGAUGUAUACUCAACUCAUGUUGUAUUCCUUUAUCACAAAAUUGCAGAAGCUUUGACUUUUACAAGUCAAUUAAGAAUUGAAUGCGAUGUACUGAUGUAAUACAUAUUUUGAUUAAGUCCACAUGCCAAAUUUAUGGUGGAUUUUACAA
Long non-coding RNA from Helianthus annuus (common sunflower), 2189 nucleotides. RefSeq lists it as uncharacterized. The record is from RefSeq and is a predicted model, not a curated record. Lineage: Eukaryota; Viridiplantae; Streptophyta; Magnoliopsida; Asterales; Asteraceae. The transcript is spliced from 7 exons.